Molecule: ribosomal RNA, 468 nt
Filed under: uncultured bacterium
Lineage: Bacteria
Description: partial 16S ribosomal RNA
Rfam family: Bacterial small subunit ribosomal RNA
Source: RNAcentral
GACGAACGCUGGCGGCGUGCUUAACACAUGCAAGUCGAACGGAAAGGCCCUGCUUUUUCGGGGUGCUCGAGUGGCGAACGGGUGAGUAACACGUGAGUAACCUGCCCUUGACUUUGGGAUAACUUCAGGAAACUGGGGCUAAUACCGGAUAGGAGCUCCUGCUGCAUGGUGGGGGUUGGAAAGUUUCGGCGGUUGGGGAUGGACUCGCGGCUUAUCAGCUUGUUGGUGGGGUAGUGGCUUACCAAGGCUUUGACGGGUAGCCGGCCUGGGAGGGUGACCGGCCACAUUGGGACUGAGAUACGGCCCAGACUCCUACGGGAGGCAGCAGUGGGGAAGAGUGCACAAUGGGAGGAAGGCUGAUGCAGCAACGCCGCGUGCGGGAUGACGGCCUUCGGGUUGUAAACCGCUGUCGCCUGUGACGAAGCGUGAGUGACGGUAAUGGGUAAAGAAGCACCGGCUAACUACGUG